AUGACAAGCCGCCGCCACCGCUCGCCGCCCCGGGCGGCGCUGGACAACGACGACCUGCUCCUGGAGAUCCUCCUACACCUCCCGCCGCGACCCUCUUCCCACCCCCGCGUCUCGCUCGUAUGCAACCGCUGGCGCCACCUCGCCUUCGACCCCGGUUUCCUCCGCUGCUUCCGCAUCCACCACAGCUGCAGCGCUCCCAUCCUCGGUUGCUUCGUGGAGCGAGCCCACGGCAUGUCCUUCGAACCUACUCUGGAGGCCCCCAAUCGUGUCCUGCCGGGGCGCUUCUCCUUACGGUUCGACGAAGACGACCUUUUGAGCCUCCUCAAUUGCCGCCAUGGUCGCGUGCUCGUCCACAACCAGACACGAGGCAAGUUCCUUGUUUGGGACCCCAUCACCGGCGACCAGCAUCACCUAGCCAGCCCCGCGGGGUUUGAUUCGAAGACAACGGAGAUCAGCGGGUGUGCCAGGGGAGACGUCCAACACUUUGAGGUGGUCUUUGUAUUCUACGACCAGACAUACAACAUGGACCGGCAGCAAUCGCCUGCGUUUACUCGUCAGAGACGAGCUUAUGGGGUGACAUCAUCUCAACACCGCUUCUAUGGUUGA
RNAcentral lists this ribosomal RNA (606 nucleotides) under Triticum aestivum (bread wheat). RNAcentral's name for it is "partial small subunit ribosomal RNA". The record is from RNAcentral. Lineage: Eukaryota; Viridiplantae; Streptophyta; Magnoliopsida; Poales; Poaceae.